This is a non-coding RNA of Zootermopsis nevadensis, 541 nucleotides long. The record is from RefSeq and is a predicted model, not a curated record. NCBI's taxonomy places the organism in Eukaryota, Metazoa, Arthropoda, Insecta, Blattodea, Termopsidae.
AGAAGCAUACCAUCUAACAGGCACUAGUGUGCUACUGCCUUUUACGUCAAUUAAAUAAAUAGAAAUUGCACUUGUGCAUGCUUGUGUGAAAUAAAACAAAUAUAGCAUAAGCUUGAAUCUAGAAACAGUAGGAGGUUAUGAUUUCCUGCAUCCAUGUAACAGUACCUGUAAGAGCUGCCUCUUUCAUAAGUGGCUCUUAGCAAACACUGAGUUUGAUUCUACCUAAAAGAAAAUCACUUAACCAAGAUUCAAAGGUUGGAUAGUAAAAUAAGGAAAUAAAUAUACUAAAAAAACAGGCAAAUGAAAACUCUUAUAACAGAUGAGACACAAGACAUAAACUGUGGAUCCCUGAUUGUUGUCUUACACAUACGUAAGACUGCAGUAAAAUAUGAGAACUUGUAAUGGUUAACGUAAAGGACAUGUGAUAAACACAAAGUACUUUAUCCUCAAAAUGAUCUUAUUUAGUAAUACUGCAUUAUAGAAAAUUAAGACUUUAUACACCAUAUGGGAAAGAUAAUAAAUAUUGGGUAUUGGUUGUUGG